CAGAUUAGAGCCCUCGAAAGUUCAAUCGCAACCUUCCUGCACCUUUCUCCUUCUAUCUCUCUUUCCCUCUCUAUCAAUUUUCAGUUUCCCGUAGACAUAUGGUUCCCCUCUUCCUCUCUAGCAUCCAGAUCUGAAUUUAUACAAUCAUGGACACACUUUAAAGACCCUUUCGAUGCAAUGGCAGACUUCAAGGAAAAGCGAUGGUGCUUCUACUUCAGUGGAUUAGAGUGAAUGGGCAUCUCAGUUGGAGUAGAGAAAUGGGUCUUACUGGAAGGCAAAAUGAAACGACCCGUCAAAAUUGGAUCUUGAACAUCUAUCACUUUUUAGGAGUUUGUGUGAAUUUUGGGUUUUUUUUCCUGGUUUUAUUCUAUGUGGUUUUGUCUGUAUGAUUGGAAAGUUCAAUUUCUGAUGUACUUUCGGGGGGGUUUGACUGUAGCAGCAGGGAAGUGGGGAAGUGGGUGGCUUUCCGGUGGCACCGCCGGCUCAGUAUAACCCAUUAGACGAGCCGAGUCCAUUGGGAUUGAGGCUGAGGAAAAGUCCUUCCCUUUUGGAAUUGAUCCAAAUGAGGCUUUCUCAAGCUAAUUCACCUAAGGGUGCAAGUUCCAGUAAAAAAGAGCUUAAAGGGGCCGCUGCUUCUGGUUCCUCUGAGAAGCUCAAGGCUUCAAAUUUUCCAGCAACUAUUCUGCGAAUUGGGACCUGGGAGUAUAAGUCAAGAUAUGAAGGGGAUUUGGUAGCAAAGUGUUAUUUUGCAAAGCAUAAGCUUGUAUGGGAGGUUCUUGAUGGCGGGCUCAAGAAUAAGAUUGAAAUUCAAUGGUCUGAUAUAAUGGCUUUGAAGG
Coffea eugenioides is the source of this 836-nucleotide long non-coding RNA. RefSeq lists it as uncharacterized. NCBI's taxonomy places the organism in Eukaryota, Viridiplantae, Streptophyta, Magnoliopsida, Gentianales, Rubiaceae. The transcript is spliced from 3 exons. The record is from RefSeq and is a predicted model, not a curated record.